CGUGAAAUUGUUGAAAGGGAAGCGCUUGCAGCCAGACGUGCCCGCAGUUGCUCAUCCGGGGUUUUCCCCGGUGCAUUCUUCUGUGGGCAGGCCAGCAUCAGUUCUGGCGGUUGGAGAAAGGCCUGUGUCACGUAUCUGUCCUCGGACAGUGUUAUAGGGCAGGUGGAAUACAACCAGCUGGAACUGAGGUCCGCGCAUCUGCUAGGAUGCUGGCGUAAUGGCUGUAAGCGGCCCGUCUUGAAACACGG
Molecule: ribosomal RNA, 248 nt
Filed under: Herpotrichia macrotricha
Lineage: Eukaryota; Fungi; Ascomycota; Dothideomycetes; Pleosporales; Melanommataceae
Description: partial large subunit ribosomal RNA
Rfam family: Eukaryotic large subunit ribosomal RNA
Source: RNAcentral